CAUUAAGAAGCUAUGAAACAGCAACAGCCUUUUAAGCUGUAGAAAGAUGGCUACAACCACCCUUAAUGA
RNAcentral lists this transfer RNA (69 nucleotides) under Kaloula sp. East Luzon. RNAcentral's name for it is "tRNA-Lys". It matches the Rfam family "tRNA". Rfam says of the family: Transfer RNA (tRNA) molecules are approximately 80 nucleotides in length. The record is from RNAcentral. Lineage: Eukaryota; Metazoa; Chordata; Amphibia; Anura; Microhylidae.